GACACAGGAAAAUCAUGCAGAAUACCAUAAAUGAUUAUUCUGAUACCAAUUUACAGACAAUCUUACAGGAUACUGUCUUUACUUGAGCAACAUGUAUUGCUUCCCUGUGUUUCCUUUCCCAUUAUUGUUACCCAGUACCUAUUACAGAGGUCAAUGUCUUGACCCUGUUUGUGCCGAUAAAUAAAUUACAGGUGAUUCCUCUCUGAUGAUCUGCAUUGUAAAGGGCAACAAAGUUAUGCAAAACUCCAGAUACAUACAGAGACAACAAACACUUUAAGAAUCAAAACUGACUUUGAGGCUAGAAGUCACUCCACAUUAUCUGUCUGGUUACAUACUACCCAUUUAGCUCUACCAAAGGUUCCUUUCCUUUCACAGUAGUAAAGGAAAAGCAGAAUAGAAUCCAUCAUCUUCUGAAUGAACUUACAGCUUAGUCAUACAAACUGGAACCUUUAUUCUGAAUGCGGAGUAUUCUGUAUCAUUGGUGUAGAAUAGAAUAUUUUAUCCUAUACCAUAUUCACUGCCAGUAGUCUGGCAAAACUGCCAGUUCAGUUCCCUCACCACCUCUCAGCUGAGCUCAGGGAACCCUCUCACUUCCACUUGCAGGUGUAACUGUGAAAGAUAUGCCAAAGAGGCUAUUCCAAAUGUUCACUAGCCAGGGCAGGAAA
Molecule: long non-coding RNA, 665 nt
Organism: Oxyura jamaicensis (ruddy duck)
Lineage: Eukaryota; Metazoa; Chordata; Aves; Anseriformes; Anatidae
Exons: 2
Source: RefSeq, a predicted model, not a curated record